AAUGGAUCUAAGUAAAGUCAUUUACAAAUGUGUUCGCUGCAGCUCGGUAUACACAACUUGAAGUUGUUGAAGAUAUUAGAGGACAUGUUUGUCCAAUCCCUUUGGAACAGGCUAGUGCAUCGAAUGGGCCUAGUCAACUUCCACUAGGCCUACACAUUCCCGCUGCACCACUGCAUUUGCCUCCGGCUCCUGCACUACAGAAGUUAGCUCCUGCACCACUUAAUUUGCCUCCGGCUCCUGCACCACAGAAGUUGGCUCCUGCACCACUUAAUUUGUCUGUUGCUGGACCAUCACCUGCCUGUGCUCCAAAGUGGGCACCAUUCUCAACCCCCCAACAAAUGCAUAAAGAUACAAAGCCAUGGAUGCACAAUGCAACAUUACUUCUAAUUUCUCUGACAAAGCAAAUGGCUGAAGGCUUUCAAUCUCCUGUAUUAAAGAAAGUAGAAAUGUGGAAAAAGGUAGAUGCACAAAUGCUGGCAAAAGGAUAUGACUUUGGAGCAGAGGCAUGUGACAAUAAGUUCAGGCAGUUAAAGCACAGAUACAAAACAAUAGUGGACAGUAAAAAGAAGACUGGGAGUGGUACCAGCAGCUGGGUCUUUUUCUCAUCAAUGGAGGACCUCCUGGCUGAUGAUCCCAGUGUGGAGCCGGUCCUGAUCGUGUCAUCUUUUGCUGGAUCUUCAUCAGAUCCAGUUGGCCCAGGACCAUCAACUUCACAAUCAUCAACUUCACAACCAUCAUCUUCACAACCAUCAUCUUCACAACCUAAGCCAUCAGCAGAACAUGGCAAAAAGAGAAGGCGCAUGUCUGAAGCAUCCGAGUGGUUUGAUCAGUAUGUCACUGAGCAGAGGAGGCAGAUGUCAGAACUCAUGGCCCUGCAAAAGCAAGCAGUAGAAGUGGCAAGCGAACGUAACAACAUCUUAAAAUAAUUUGUUUCUGCUUUUCUGCAAGAGGAAAUUGUGUAGAACACAUGCAGCUGUUAUAACCACUGGUACUUUUUAAGGUCUUCCAUGAUCAAAUAAUUCAGUCGUCUCCAUUUCCCCUUUAGAAGGCCAAAUGCCCUUUCAAUCACAACUCUGGUUGAGCUGUGGAGUGUGUUAAAUUUUUUUUGCCUUCAUGAUAAGUGCCCAUUAUCUCAGUAUGGUGUAAUGAGAGAUGUGCUGAGUGGGUAUGCGGAGUCUCCAAGCAGGUGGUAGUCACUUCUUAUUACAUCCUGGAGAUGGCCAUAUAAUGGGCAGUUCUGAAACACCCUAGCAUCGUGCACAGACCCCGGCCAACCAGUGUACACAUCCAGGAACAUCAUCUGUGAUGUACACACUGCUUGGUGUUGAAUACUUGCAUGUCCUUUCCUGUUUAUGUAACUGUUUCUAUGGAGUGUGGGUGCUGGGAUGGCAAUGUGUGUGCCAUUGAUUGCUCCAAUGACUCCAGGGAAGCCAGUUUUUUCCUGAAAGCCAUUUGCCAGGUUUGCAAACUCAUCCUCUCUGGGCCAUAGAAUGUAUUCAUUUCUCAGUGUACAAAUGACCUUGCAAAUGUCGGAAAAAAUAUAAUGAAGGGUUCCUUUUGACAUAUAAAACCGGUCUGCAAUACCCCUGAAGCUCUCUUGGUUUGCCAACAACCAAAUAGUUUAUACUAAAUCAUUUUCGGGGUGUCCAAGGUUAGGUUUGCCAGUAAAGGACCAACUUUCUCACAGAGAGCCUGUAGACAUUUAUAGUAGAAGUUUCUACAUCCCUAUGAUGCUGUAAAUAAGCUGACACAAAUCUUGCUAUGGCUGUUGUAUACACACUGAUGCACAUACUGCUAUAUACAAUUGGGAAUUUGUAAGUAAAUGUAAUUGACAUCAAAAUAAAUGCACA
RNAcentral lists this long non-coding RNA (1850 nucleotides) under Sinocyclocheilus grahami. Its description in RNAcentral is "lncRNA (ENSSGRG00000023128.1)". The record is from RNAcentral. Lineage: Eukaryota; Metazoa; Chordata; Actinopteri; Cypriniformes; Cyprinidae.